This 1465-nucleotide long non-coding RNA is filed under the name Capra hircus (goat). RNAcentral describes it as "lncRNA (ENSCHIG00010030739.1)". The record is from RNAcentral. Lineage: Eukaryota; Metazoa; Chordata; Mammalia; Artiodactyla; Bovidae.
AUACAUUUGAUACUCUCUAAAUGUAUUAAAUGAAGCCUAUUAUGAAACCAGUAAACCUGCCUUCUGUAAAACACAACAUAUGACCACAGAUAUUAAAAUUGAGUGUACAUGUUCUUAAAUUCUCGUUUGGGAGAUUAUUCUCUACAAUGGGUGACUUGAAUUUAUUUUCCCACUAUUAAUUUUUGUGUGUGGAAAUUUUGCUUAAUGAUUUUCUUUCCCACUUCUAUCUGUUUGCUGAGAGAAAACUGUUCUCUUGAAAUAGCGUUGGUGACCUGAGUUUAGGAGUCAGAUGAGUUUAAAUCAUAAUUCCAAUCCUUCAUAGCUGUAUGAUGGAGAAAGUUACCAAGCUUCUCUAACUCAUUUUUUCUCAUCUGUAAAGGAAGAUAGUAAUGAUAUAUACCUUAUAAGAAUUAUAAGAUUUGAGAAUAAUCUAUUUAAAGUGCCCAAAGCAGGAGGCACCUAACAUUGUUACAAAUAUAUGUGUGUAUUUUUGUAUAUUUAUUCACAAAACUCAUCUAUACUUGGCCCAUUAUAGAGGUCUCUUGUUUUUGCCAGGUUGUCUGGAAAUCCUCCAUUUAGAGAUUCAGUCCUUCAAGAUUAUAGAAAAGUAUCAUUAACCAAAAUCCAGACAUUCCCGGGCAAGGUAUUAUGCUUUUGGCUAACAAGUUUUCAGUUAAUUUCUUAUGCUAUAAAUAGGAAUAAAAUAUGCAAAGCAUGGGCUUAUUGUGGCUUGUCAUAUAAUGUCAGAUCACGUUCUUCUUCUUCCUCUUCUUUCAUCUGGGAUCUCAGACCCCUCAAAAUCCUCAGAGUAGCUGGCUUCUGUAAACAAUUUUCAAUAUUUAAAUAAUCCUAAUAGAAACUGUACAUACCCUUUGCCUAACUCCUUGCUAACUGAAAUAUCAGUUUCUUUGCCAGUGGCUAAACUUACACCUACUCAGUAAUGCAACCCUAUCACAUGCUGGUGUGACAUUGUUAAGUUUCAUUUGUAUCUCAUUCUUAUAUUAGAAUAAUCAUGAAUCAAUUCUUACUAAAUGCAGUUUAGCAGACAGAAUGUUUCACAGUGUCAGCUCCAUGAGGAAGAGUAGAAAGAGCCAUAGCAGAGAAAAAACUGGGAUCAACUGCAUUUUGAGAAUCCAUCCUACAGUUAACUGAGAAAGCUUUUAAGGAAGGGGAAGACAGACUAAUGCCUAGAAGGAGUGUGGGAGAGACAUGAGGGUCAUGAGACAAGAAUGGCCAAAGAAUAUAUUAAAAAGAAACUCAUGACUAUCUUGCUGGCCUCUACAGAUCUUUGUCUCACUUGAAACCUUAGAAAUUUGUUCCCUUUUCAGUAGUGAAAGUGAAAGUCACUUAGUUGUGCUUUGUGACCCCAUGGCCUAUCCAUGGAAUUCUCCAGGCCAGAAUACUGGGGUGGGUAACCAUUCCCUUUUCCAGGGGAUCUUCCCAACCCAAGGAUUGAACCCAGGUC